UUCGCCCUACAACUCCCUAGCACAAUACGCCAAGGCGUCAUGACGAUCGGCGCCUAAAACAAUAAUCAAUUCCAACCUCAGAAUUUAUAGUGAUAGAAUAUAUAACUUAUAUAAAAUACGUCACUACGUAGUUCGAUCCGGAAGAUCCACCACUCAGAUUUUAAAUCCAUAACUUCCAGAGGUCCACAAUAUAUCUCUAGGAUAACCUCCUAAAAUUUCAUUACCAUCCAACGGUCGGAUCUCCGUCAAUUUCCAAAACUAAGUGACGGUUAACAUUUUAUUUUAUGAACUUACAAUUCCAAUUCCGGAAGAUCCGUAACUCGGAUUCCCAAUCCGUAAGUUCCAAUAAUCCUCAAAUAUUACGUAUUACAACGUAUCAAAGUUUGGUAACGAUCCAACGGUCGGAUCAUCAAUUCACAUUUUCACCUAAUGCGAAAACUAUAAAACGUUAUUCGAACACCUAACCAACAAUCCUUAAUAACUUUCUCAUACGGUGCUCAAUUUGGGUAUAUGAAUAUACCACAGUGAUCUACUCGACGUCACCGACGUCGACAUAUUUUUAAAAUAAUUGUUUACUGUAGCACGCGCCCCCACGCGCCAAGGAAGGCACGGGUCCACGCGCCCCCACGCGCACCUUCUUCUUCCUUGGGUCGCCGGACUGGUUUUUCCGGCGGCCGUUUUUCAAAUUGCCAUAACUUUGUCAUUUCUCAACGAAAUCAAGUGAUUCAAAAACUAAAGUUUUAGCCCUUGAAUAUACAAAGAGAAUUGUACCUUGCACAACACCUAGUUCGCCGUGGUUUGGCCGGAAACUGCCUCGAAAGCCUCGGAGGUCGCCGGAAACUGGGUAUUUUUCAAAUGAGUAUAACUUCUUCAAUACUCAACGAAAUUGAGUGAAACAAAAAGGAAAGUUGUAGUACUUGACGAGACAAAGAGAUUGAUACCUACCUCGACUCCUAACUCGCCGGGUAUUCGCCGGAAAAAGCCUCGAAAGCUCCGGCCAAACUUUGAACUUGUCGAUCUCCGUGUUCUUACGUCCAAAAACUUCCAACGAAGCACUCCGAGCUUCCUUGGGACCUCACUAAGCUCGCUGUGAUCUUGUUUUAGCCUAAAUCGUAACCAUUUAAAAGAUCAUGAACAGUGCUCUUCACGGGAACUUUGAAACUAGGGUUUUCCGAAGCAAAACUUACCUGAAAUGGAUACCAUCGUGAUCGUGAAGUCUUCAGGGUUCCAAUGGUGGUCUUAUAUUCAUCGUUGGUGGAAGUUUAAGGUUGUUUUGUGGUUGGUUUGUUCGAACGGAGAAGAAGAGUGACAGAGAGAGUGAGAG
Molecule: long non-coding RNA, 1324 nt
Filed under: Malus domestica (apple)
Lineage: Eukaryota; Viridiplantae; Streptophyta; Magnoliopsida; Rosales; Rosaceae
Description: long non-coding RNA (MDOM_LNC014536)
Source: RNAcentral